UACGUAGGUGGCAAGCGUUGUCCGGAUUUACUGGGCGUAAAGAGCGCGCAGGCGGUCGUUCAAGUCGCGUGUGAAAGCCCCCGGCUCAACUGGGGAGGGUCACGCGAUACUGAUCGACUCGAAGGCAGGAGAGGGUAGUGGAAUUCCCGGUGUAGUGGUGAAAUGCGUAGAUAUCGGGAGGAACACCAGUGGCGAAGGCGGCUGUCUGGGCCAGUUCUGACGCUGAGGCGCGAAAGCGUGGGGAGCAAACAGG
This 253-nucleotide ribosomal RNA is filed under the name uncultured bacterium. RNAcentral describes it as "partial 16S ribosomal RNA". It matches the Rfam family "Bacterial small subunit ribosomal RNA", at positions 524 to 776 of the family's 1533-position model. The record is from RNAcentral.